Oncorhynchus kisutch (coho salmon) is the source of this 2373-nucleotide long non-coding RNA. RefSeq lists it as uncharacterized. The transcript is spliced from 2 exons. NCBI's taxonomy places the organism in Eukaryota, Metazoa, Chordata, Actinopteri, Salmoniformes, Salmonidae. The record is from RefSeq and is a predicted model, not a curated record.
UGGAUGUCUGUCCAUUUUAUGUUCUCCUCCACAGUAGGCUCAUACAGGACCUCUACUCAGAGUAAACUAUAUUUGAUUUUAGAUUUUUUUUUAAUCAGAAAAUAAUUGUAAAAGAUGGAGCUACUGAGGACUGCACUUCUUGUUGUGUUUAUCACAACAGCAUUCACAAAACCGUUUGGCAGGUCUGGACACCAUAAUGGCCAUAAAGCAUUAAAUCCAUUGGAAUGGUUGAAAUGGUACGAGCGGGGUCACUCUUCUGAGGAUGUCUUCAGACACAGCAAGGGAAGAGGCUCGGGAUCACCAAAGGCCUUUGAUUCUUCAGUAUCAAUGGAGUCUUCCUCAGAAUCUUCAGAAUCCAACCAGUCCUCAGAAUCUGAUGCAUCAAGUUCAGAGGAGAUCUUCCCUGAGAGGACAACACCUGGACCAAUUGCUCCAACCACAGUGAACCCACCCACUGCUGCCAUGUCAACUAUCCCACCGGUGAUAGAAAUGUCCACAAAUGGUCCAGUCAUCAAUGAAACGACACCUUUACCAGGGAACGUUACUGCAUGUGUCACUGAGGACAUUCUAACUCCAGCUCCGCCAACUCCCGCUCCAGCAACUCCCCCUCCAGUCACAGAGAGUAGAGGAGACCGUCUUUAAAUGUUUAUAAAUACUAGUCAGAAUUCAAGCUACAUUUUUCCAGUUUAUCAUUAUUUGUUAUAUGGAAAAUGUACUUUAAUGUAUUUACAGCUUUGAAUGGAUUUAUAGCUUUUGUUGUCGGCUUCAGAAUAGUAUUAUAGUAAUGAAAAACAAAUAAGAAUCUUGUAUGGCAUAAGAAUAUUUUUUUUAUACAAAAAUCUAAUGAGUAUCUGCUAAGAUUUUGUAUGUUUUGCCUUAUGUCAGUAGUGUAUUUGAAUAUGUCUUGACUUAUAUGACUACUAUGACAUACACAAUUGUGGUGGAUUUUCCACAACAGGGGUCUCUAACCUAUUCCAGCAUGAGUGCAUUCUUUUAACUUUCAAAUAGGCACAUUCUUCUCUUUUCCUUCAUCCUUGCAAGUCUUCCCUAGGUCCUUGCUGUACAACAUGUUUUCUCUCAAUAUACUUGGUAAAAUGAUGGUUAAUAAACAACUCUAAGGGGGCCCCCCUAAAAUGCUAUUUGGUAUUUUCCUGAAUUCUGUUUUCUCUAUUAGUUUUUUCCUGGUUUGAGAUUUCUUAAAAAAACAUGUACUCUCACUAUUACAAUUACUUAUAGAGAAACAACGAAUGUGUAGCGAUUCUCAUCCUCGUCUGUGGAUGUUCUGAGUCCAUACCAAUUCUUAAAUCACAACAGAAGAUCAUUUUUUAGUACAAAAAAAAAAAAAAUACAUUAAAUGUUUUUUUUGGGGGGUUGUAUAAUUCCCCUAUAAAUGCGCAACUAGCAAGAGAUGAAUGUGUUGAGUUGGGAUAUUGGGAGACCAAGAAAAGAACGGGCCUAAGGUACUCUGGGCAGAGGAACAUUUUGAGCCAGGCUACUCUCACGAGAUCAUAGACAUACGGUUCUUUUUACAGGUCAGUUAAUCAAUAAAUAUUAAACCAGGAGACGAUUUAACUUUGCUAUCAGGGUUUCCCAGUUAGCGAGGGGAAUGGCGUGACUUGAGAGGGCAAGAACGAGAUGCAUGUUAGGGGAAGUACAAUAUUAUCAUAAGGAGACGUAUACUUCGAAUACAUAGGAGGAAUGGAGGGAAAAAGAGAGGCAGAGGAGGUCGUAGAGGGUGAGAUUGAAUCGGUUAAGAAUGGUGGAUAAAAGGGAGCUGGUUUGUUAAAGAAGAAUGGUAGAAAGUGUUAGCAGAGUGAGCUGUACGCCGGAUCGAAGACAAGGAGGAGAAAUGGAAGUGAGGGCGAAUUAUCGGAGGUGUAGGAGUGGUGAAGUUCUUGGAGCCCGAGGCUUGUACCGAGGGUCAGGAUAAAGAUGAGUCUGUGACGGUAGGAGUGACAUUUUUUUAAAAAGUGGACCCUUGCCUUUUGGCUGAUCCAUUUGUGGUUUCAGGGUGGGUGAAAACAGAGUUGGGUGCUGUAGAAUCGGUGAAGGUGUCACGACUUGUUCGGCGGUGUUCGGUGGUCACCGGUCUUCUAGACAUUGCCGCUUCAUUUUCAUCAUUCCAUUUGUUUUGACUUGUUUGCUUCACACCUGGUUUGCAUUCCCUAAUCACACUGCAUGUAUUUAUUCCUCUGUUCCCCUCCAUGUCUUUGUGUGAAAUUGUUUUGUGUUACGUGGUUUUUAAAGUAUAGCUGGUUUGUUCCGUGUAUGUUGUUCACGUAGAUGGUUUGUUUGUUUAAAACUAUAUAUCAGGUUGUGAUUUCUCGCGCUGUACACUCUGCCUGCCAAAUAAAGUGUGUGCUUGUUUCACAA